CAGUAGCCACGGUAAAACGCAGGGUGCAAGCGUUAAUCGGAAUUACUGGGCGUAAAGCGUGCGCAGGCGGUUCUAUAAGACAGAUGUGAAAUCCCCGGGCUCAACCUGGGAACUGCAUUUGUGACUGUAGAGCUGGAGUGCGGCAGAGGGGGAUGGAAUUCCGCGUGUAGCAGUGAAAUGCGUAGAUAUGCGGAGGAACACCGAUGGCGAAGGCAAUCCCCUGGGCCUGCACUGACGCUCAUGCACGAAAGCGUGGGGAGCGAACAGGAUUAGAUACCCCGGUAGUCCCUGUCUCUUAUAC
This 301-nucleotide ribosomal RNA is filed under the name uncultured bacterium. RNAcentral describes it as "partial 16S ribosomal RNA". It matches the Rfam family "Bacterial small subunit ribosomal RNA", at positions 509 to 807 of the family's 1533-position model. The record is from RNAcentral.